Molecule: ribosomal RNA, 580 nt
Filed under: uncultured archaeon
Lineage: Archaea
Description: bacterial SSU rRNA
Rfam family: Archaeal small subunit ribosomal RNA
Source: RNAcentral
GAUAACCUCGGGAAACUGAGAAUAAUACCCCAUAGUUCACCACGCCUGGAACGGUGGGUGGAUGAAAGCUCCGGCGGCAUAGGAUGGGCCUGCGGCGUAUCAGGUUGUAGGGGGUGUAAUGUACCCUCUAGCCAUCUACGCGUACGGGUGUUGGGAGACAUCGCCCGGAGAUGGAUUCUGAGACACGAAUCCAGACCCUACGGGGUGCAGCAGGCGCGAAAACUUGGCAAUGCGAGCAAUCGUGACCAGGGAACUCCAAGUGCAUCGGGUAAGACCGAUGCUUUUCUUGACUCUUCAAAGGUCUUGGAAUAAGGGGUGGGUAAGGACGGUGCCAGCCGCCGCGGUAAUACCGGCGCCUCAAGUGGUAGUCGCUUUUAUUGGGCCUAAAACGUCCGUAGCCGGUUUGGUACAUUCGUGGGUAAAUCAAGGCGCUCAACGUCUUGAAUUCUGCGAGCACGGCCAGACUUGGGACCGGGUGAGGUGUGGGGUACUCUCAGGGUAGGGGUAAAAUCCUGUCAUCCUGAGAGGACCACCUGUUGCGAAGGCGCCACACUAGAACGGAUCCGACGGUCAGGGACGA